UACGGGGGGUGCAAGCGUUAUCCGGAAUCACUGGGUUUAAAGGGUGCGUAGGCGGCUUGAUAAGUCAGAGGUGAAAGCUCACGGCUCAACUGUGGAAUUGCCUUUGAUACUGUCAAGCUUGAAUCGGCGCGAGGCAGGCGGAAUGUGGCAUGUAGCGGUGAAAUGCUUAGAUAUGCCAUAGAACACCGAUUGCGAAGGCAGCCUGCCAGAGCUGAAUUGACGCUGAGUCACGAAAGCGUGGGGAGCGAACAGG
RNAcentral lists this ribosomal RNA (253 nucleotides) under uncultured bacterium. Its description in RNAcentral is "partial 16S ribosomal RNA". It matches the Rfam family "Bacterial small subunit ribosomal RNA", at positions 524 to 776 of the family's 1533-position model. The record is from RNAcentral.